GAUGAACGCUGGCGGCGUGCCUCAAACAUGCAAGUCGAGCGAGGCUAUGAGUUACCGCAAGGUAAGGCAUAGCCUAGCGGCGAACGGGUGAGUAACACGUGGGUAACCUACCUGGAAGACAGGGAUAACGAUUCGAAAGGGUCGCUAAUACCUGAUAAUAUCCAUCUGCCGGAUGGCGGAGGGAAGAAAGGGGAAACCCGCUUUCAGAUGGGCCCGCGUCCCAUCAGCUAGUUGGUAAGGUAAAGGCUUACCAAGGCGACGACGGGUAGCCGGUCUGAGAGGAUGUACGGCCACACUGGGACUGAGAUACGGCCCAGACUCCUACGGGAGGCAGCAGUUGGGAAUCUUAGGCAAUGGACGAAAGUCUGACCUAGCGACGCCGCGUGAGGGAAGAAGGCCUUGGGUGUAAACCUCUGUCAUGGGGAAGAAGGAAGUGACGGUACCCAAGAGGAAGCCCCUGCUAACUACGUGCCAGCAGCCGCGGUAAGCAUACUCGUA
Molecule: ribosomal RNA, 498 nt
Filed under: uncultured bacterium
Lineage: Bacteria
Description: bacterial SSU rRNA
Rfam family: Bacterial small subunit ribosomal RNA
Source: RNAcentral